GCCCCAAUAGCUCAGGUUGGAUAGAGCGUUUGCUUGCGGAGCAAAAGGUCGGGAGUUCGAGUCUCUCUUGGGGCA
Molecule: transfer RNA, 75 nt
Filed under: Pseudomonadota bacterium
Lineage: Bacteria; Pseudomonadati; Pseudomonadota
Also listed under: 3 other names
Description: tRNA-Arg
Rfam family: tRNA
About the family: Transfer RNA (tRNA) molecules are approximately 80 nucleotides in length. Their secondary structure includes four short double-helical elements and three loops (D, anti-codon, and T loops).
Source: RNAcentral